Molecule: ribosomal RNA, 465 nt
Filed under: Vreelandella stevensii
Lineage: Bacteria; Pseudomonadati; Pseudomonadota; Gammaproteobacteria; Oceanospirillales; Halomonadaceae
Description: partial 16S ribosomal RNA
Rfam family: Bacterial small subunit ribosomal RNA
Source: RNAcentral
CCUACGGGGGACAGCAGUGGGGAAUAUUGGACAAUGGGGGGAACCCUGAUCCAGCCAUGCCGCGUGUGUGAAGAAGGCCCUCGGGUUGUAAAGCACUUUCAGUGAGGAAGAACGCCUGGUGGUUAAUACCCAUCAGGAAAGACAUCACUCACAGAAGAAGCACCGGCUAACUCCGUGCCAGCAGCCGCGGUAAUACGGAGGGUGCGAGCGUUAAUCGGAAUUACUGGGCGUAAAGCGCGCGUAGGUGGCUUGAUAAGCCGGUUGUGAAAGCCCCGGGCUCAACCUGGGAACGGCAUCCGGAACUGUCAAGCUAGAGUGCAGGAGAGGAAGGUAGAAUUCCCGGUUUAGCGGUGAAAUGCGUAGAGAUCGGGAGGAAUACCAGUGGCGAAGGCGGCCUUCUGGACUGACACUGACACUGAGGUGCGAAAGCGUGGGUAGCAAACAGGAUUAGAUACCCCUGUAGUC